UCUGCUUCUCAGUCAUCUGUGGACCACACCUACACCAGCGCUUCCUUCUGCGCAUCCUAUGGCACCUGUCUACUUCCUGUUUUGGGAAUCCCCACAGAGGCUAGCACAGUGCUGAACUUGUAAAAAGUACGCAAUAAAUGAUCCUCUUCCUGAACGACAUUGGAUGAUAAUAAAAUCUCUUGUGAGAGAGAGGCAAAGUUGGACAUCCCAAAGAUGGCAUAGAUAAACAUGACCAGGAAGAGCAGGAGGCCGAUGUUAAACAACGCAGGAAGGGACAUCAUCAAAGCAAAGAGCAGCGUGCGGAUCCCCUUUGCUCCUUUGAUCAGACGUAGGAUUCGGCCAAUCCUGGCAAGACGGAUCACUCGGAACAAGCACGCGGAACACAAUCAGGAAGGAGUGGAAGAAGUCGUUCAUGUGCCACCGUGGGAGCGUACAGUCAUCAUUGAUCUUGCAGACACAUUCUUUGUAGCUCUUACCAAAGAGCUGCAUGCCGACCACAGCAAAAAUGAAGACGAUGAUGGCCAACACCAAGUGGUGGUGCCCUGCAAACCAAAUACUGAUGGCUCAAACCACUCUUCCCAAUAAGUAAUACAACACCACAUAGCAUUUCUUUGGCAAAUCAUGCUACAUGCAAUUUUUCCAGGCUCCGAGCACAUCAUUGGCACCAAAAUAGAGCAAAGGACUGUGUGCACUGCCCUGAUUUAGGUGUGGAUGAUGCCACUUACUGCAGCGGGGAAUGCAGAGUAAAAGGUCUCUGCACAUAAGGACAGGAAGGGGAUGCUGUUCAGUGCUCAAUUCUUUUGAGGCUAAAGGAGAUCCAGAAUUCCACAGACCAUUAUUUCCCAGACAGUGAUUGGAGGAAUACUACUGUUCUGCUGGACUAAUGAAGUGCCACUCCACAUCCACCAGAAUGGCUACAACUUAAAAAGGCUUAUCAUACUGUUUGUGAGAAUCUAGAGCUACAGAAGCUGUCAGAGACU
Long non-coding RNA from Homo sapiens (human), 980 nucleotides. Lineage: Eukaryota; Metazoa; Chordata; Mammalia; Primates; Hominidae. The record is from Ensembl.